This 496-nucleotide ribosomal RNA is filed under the name uncultured bacterium. RNAcentral's name for it is "partial 16S ribosomal RNA". It matches the Rfam family "Bacterial small subunit ribosomal RNA", at positions 28 to 506 of the family's 1533-position model. The record is from RNAcentral.
GAUGAACGCUGGCGGCGUGCCUAAUACAUGCAAGUCGAGCGAACAGACGAGGAGCUUGCUCCUCUGACGGUAGCGGCGGACGGGUGAGUAACACGUGGAUAACCUACCUAUAAGACUGGGAGAACUUCGGGAAACCGGAGCUAAUACCGGAUAAUAUAUUGAACCGCAUGGUUCAAUAGUGAAAGACGGUUUUGCUGUCACUUAUAGAUGGAUCCGCGCCGCAUUAGCUAGUUGGUAAGGUAACGGCUUACCAAGGCAACGAUGCGUAGCCGACCUGAGAGGUGGAUCGGCCACACUGGACCUGAGACCCGGUCCAGACUCCUACGGAAGGCAGCAUUAGGAAAUCUUCCGCAAUGGGCGAAACCUUGACGGAGCAACGCCGCGUGGGUGAUGAGGGUCUUCGGAUCGUAAAACCCUGUUAUUAGGGAAAAACAAAUGUGUAAGUAACUCUGCUCGUCUUGACGGUCCCAAAUCAGAAAGCCACGCCUACCUCCGG